Molecule: regulatory RNA element, 67 nt
Organism: Flavobacterium branchiophilum FL-15
Lineage: Bacteria; Pseudomonadati; Bacteroidota; Flavobacteriia; Flavobacteriales; Flavobacteriaceae
Rfam family: S15-Flavobacteria ribosomal protein leader
Source: Rfam
UAAAUUUGCACCGUCUUACAAAAGCUGUAAUGACAUACAUAAGAAUUAUUAAAUAAAUAUUGGAAUG